GUAGGGAAUAUUGCACAAUGGAGGAAACUCUGAUGCAGCGACGCCGCGUGAGUGAUGAAGGCCUUCGGGUCGUAAAACUCUGUGAUAAGGGAAGAUGAUGACGGUACCUUAUCAGAAAAGACCGGCUAACUUCGUGCCAGCAGCCGCGGUAAUACGAGGGGUCUAAGCGUUGUUCGGAAUCACUGGGCGUAAAGCGGGUGUAGGUGGCUAUGCAAGUUGGAUGUGAAAGCCCCGGGCUCAACCCGGGAAGUGCAUCCAAAACUACGUAGCUUGAGUGCGGGAGAGAAAGGCAGAAUUCCUGGUGUAGUGGUGAAAUACGUAGAUAUCAGGAGGAACUCCGGUGGCGAAGGCGGCCUUUUGGCCCAGCACUGACACUCAGACCCGAAAGCGUGGGUAGCAAACAGGAUUAGAAACCCCUGUAGUCC
This 425-nucleotide ribosomal RNA is filed under the name uncultured bacterium. RNAcentral's name for it is "bacterial SSU rRNA". It matches the Rfam family "Bacterial small subunit ribosomal RNA", at positions 354 to 796 of the family's 1533-position model. The record is from RNAcentral.